UGACUUGGAACCCAUUCUCACUCAAACUCUCUCAAAGGUUCUUGAAACCCUAGCCUCUCUCACCGUCUUCAACCACAACCUCACCGGAAUCCAUGCACUCUCCGAUCAUGGAUGGCUUGAACCCUUCUCUCCUGCUCUCAAACACUUGGUGUUCGAAGUUUUGAGGUCUGACCUCGAUGGUGUCCAUUCAGACCUUCUCCGAUUCAAGGUUCUAUGGCCUCUCCGGCCUUGCUCUGGCGUAUCCAACUAUUAUGAGCCUAUCUCUGACCUUUCCGACCAAGAUCAGACCUUUUCCAAGCCUUUCUCAUUUUAGGGUUCUUCUGAAACCCUAGCUACUCAAGUUUUUCUCUAAUUUUUCUUAGAUUUGUAUAUAUCUGUACACUACUG
This 387-nucleotide long non-coding RNA is filed under the name Nicotiana benthamiana. RNAcentral's name for it is "long non-coding RNA (NBEN_LNC021646)". Lineage: Eukaryota; Viridiplantae; Streptophyta; Magnoliopsida; Solanales; Solanaceae. The record is from RNAcentral.